This 327-nucleotide ribosomal RNA is filed under the name uncultured eukaryote. RNAcentral describes it as "partial 18S ribosomal RNA". It matches the Rfam family "Eukaryotic small subunit ribosomal RNA", at positions 1470 to 1796 of the family's 1831-position model. The record is from RNAcentral.
CCCUUAGAUGUUCUGGGCCGCACGCGCGCUACACUGAUUCAUGCAACAAGUUUUGUCCUUGGCUGAUAGGCCUGGGUAAUCUUUGAACGUGAAUCGUGAUGGGGAUAGAUGAUUGCAAUUAUUCAUCUUCAACGAGGAAUUCCUAGUAAACGCAGGUCAUCAGCUUGCAUUGAUUACGUCCCUGCCCUUUGUACACACCGCCCGUCGCACCUACCGAUUGAAUGGUCCGGUGAAAUCUUCGGAUCUGAGAGAUGUCUGAUUAAUUUCGGACGCCUUUUGGAAAAGUUGCUUAAACCUUACCAUUUAGAGGAAGGUGAAGUCGUAACA